AGCGACCGUACUACCUUGUCAAUGCCUCAUCUCGUCUGAUCUCUGAGGCUAAGCAGUUGGGCCUGGUUAGUACUUGGAAGGGAGACUGCUGGGAACACCAGAUGCCACAGUUGUGU
RNAcentral lists this ribosomal RNA (116 nucleotides) under Periophthalmus magnuspinnatus. Lineage: Eukaryota; Metazoa; Chordata; Actinopteri; Gobiiformes; Gobiidae. The record is from RNAcentral.